Molecule: ribosomal RNA, 207 nt
Filed under: uncultured bacterium
Lineage: Bacteria
Description: partial 16S ribosomal RNA
Rfam family: Bacterial small subunit ribosomal RNA
Source: RNAcentral
CAUGUAGGCGGAUUAAUAAGUUUGAAGUGAAAUCCUAUAGCUUAACUAUAGAACUGCUUUGAAAACUGUUAAUCUAGAAUGUGGGAGUGGUAGAUGGAAUUUCUGGUGUAGGGGUAAAAUCCGUAGAGAUCAGAAGGAAUACCGAUUGCGAAGGCGAUCUACUGGAACAUUAUUGACGCUGAGAUGCGAAAGCGUGGGGAGCAAACA